RNAcentral lists this ribosomal RNA (361 nucleotides) under uncultured bacterium. RNAcentral describes it as "bacterial SSU rRNA". It matches the Rfam family "Bacterial small subunit ribosomal RNA", at positions 442 to 793 of the family's 1533-position model. The record is from RNAcentral.
GGAAGGUAGUGUAGUUAACACCUGCAUUAUUUGACGUUACCUACAGAAGAAGCACCGGCUAACUCCGUGCCAGCAGCCGCGGUAAUACGGAGGGUGCGAGCGUUAAUCGGAAUUACUGGGCGUAAAGCGCAUGCAGGCGGCCUGUUAAGUCAGAUGUGAAAGACCCGGGGCGUUAACCUCGGAAUUGCAUUUGUAAACUAGGCAGGCUAGAGUCUUGUAGAGGGGGGUAGGAAUUUCAGGUGUAGCGGUGAAAUGCGUAGAGAUCUGAAGGAAUACCAGUGGCGAAGGCGGCCCCCUCGGACAAAGACUGACGCUCAGAUGCGAAAGCGUGGGGAGCAAACAGGAUUAGAUACCCUGGUAG